RNAcentral lists this ribosomal RNA (451 nucleotides) under uncultured bacterium. RNAcentral describes it as "bacterial SSU rRNA". It matches the Rfam family "Bacterial small subunit ribosomal RNA", at positions 340 to 785 of the family's 1533-position model. The record is from RNAcentral.
UACGGAAGGCAGCAGGGGGAAUAUUGCACAAUGGGCGCAAGCCUGAUGCAGCCAUGCCGCGUGUAUGAAGAAGGCCUUCGGGUUGUAAAGUACUUUCAGUCGUGAGGAAGGUGUUAAGGUUAAUAACCUUAGCAAUUGACGUUGGCGACAGAAGAAGCACCGGCUAACUCCGUGCCAGCAGCCGCGGUAAUACGGAGGGUGCGAGCGUUAAUCGGAAUUACUGGGCGUAAAGGGCACGCAGGCGGUUAAUUAAGUUGGAUGUGAAAUCCCCGGGCUUAACCUGGGAAUGGCAUUCAAGACUGGUUAGCUAGAGUCUUGUAGAGGGGGUAGAAUUCCAUGUGUAGCGGUGAAAUGCGUAGAGAUGUGGAGGAAUACCGGUGGCGAAGGCGGCCCCUGGACAAAGACUGACGCUCAUGUGCGAAAGCGUGGGGAGCAAACAGGGAUUAGAUAC